CUGAAACUCCAGCUCUGGGUUUCGUUCCAGCACAAUUGACACCACCAUCAACAGCUGCAUUCAGGUCAUCAAAGACACAAACACAGGGUCAAACAGCAGGAAUCUACAGCAACACACAGAUGGUGGGCAUCCUGCACCUGCCAGUCUGCUGAGGUUGGAGGACAUCCAGCAGGAGCUGUUUGACAUCACUAGGGGACAUCUGGUAGAUGUCCUGAGGUGGCAUGUCCCCAGCACGAAUCUUCAACUCAUGCUUCAUGGCUUGAACAAUCCAUCUAAUUGAAAAACAGACAUGAUAAAUAAAGUUUGUAGGAGAGGUGAUGGCAUACCCCACACGGAUCUUCAGCAUGCCACUGAACAGCUCUGGGUUGUUAGAGAUGAUCCAGCCGAUGUGGAUGACGAGCUCCUGCUGCAGUACGGCCUCUCGCUCGCCGUGUGGGCUGCACUUGC
Molecule: long non-coding RNA, 447 nt
Organism: Labeo rohita (rohu)
Lineage: Eukaryota; Metazoa; Chordata; Actinopteri; Cypriniformes; Cyprinidae
Exons: 3
Source: RefSeq, a predicted model, not a curated record